ACAGCAUCUCGUCCAGGAGACUACCUCAUAUUCACCACCACACCCAUUUGAGGAGCCUACAGACCCAUCUCAGGAGCCUACUCAGGCGCCCGUUGACACACAGGUUCAUCCUUCGGCGCCUGAGGUGGCGACUCCCGACGAGGAAGAGGUCGAGUUUCUAGACCUAAUUCAGCCUGAGGUUUUGAGCGUGCCAGCGGGACCAGAUCCCAAGAAGAAGCACGUUCUAGUCAAGGGCGCACGGGCCAGGGGAAGAGAUGAUGAUCAUGACUUGGAGCGCCCGGUUAUUAAGAGGAAAAAGGGCGAUGGAGACGAUGGCGAGGGCGGUGGGGAUGGUAUGAGCCUUAGGCCUAGGGAUAGUCUCCGGCAUACUACAUGUGGGACCCAUCCUCGAUAGUGUAUAUACAUUAGUGUUGUACAAUUUAUCGUAAAUAUUAUAUAUUUUUUGCAUAUUUAUACAUAUUAUCUUAGUUUUU
Long non-coding RNA from Lycium ferocissimum, 473 nucleotides. RefSeq lists it as uncharacterized. The record is from RefSeq and is a predicted model, not a curated record. Lineage: Eukaryota; Viridiplantae; Streptophyta; Magnoliopsida; Solanales; Solanaceae. The transcript has 2 exons.